UACGAGGGGGGCUAGCGUUGCUCGGAAUCACUGGGCGUAAAGCGCACGUAGGCGGCUUUCUAAGUCAGGGGUGAAAUCCUGGAGCUCAACUCCAGAACUGCCUCUGAUACUGGAGAGCUUGAGUCCGGAAGAGGUGAGUGGAACUCCGAGUGUAGAGGUGAAAUUCGUAGAUAUUCGGAAGAACACCAGUGGCGAAGGCGGCUCACUGGUCCGGUACUGACGCUGAGGUGCGAAAGCGUGGGGAGCAAACAGG
Molecule: ribosomal RNA, 253 nt
Filed under: uncultured bacterium
Lineage: Bacteria
Description: partial 16S ribosomal RNA
Rfam family: Bacterial small subunit ribosomal RNA
Source: RNAcentral